This is a long non-coding RNA of Periophthalmus magnuspinnatus, 992 nucleotides long. RefSeq lists it as uncharacterized. The record is from RefSeq and is a predicted model, not a curated record. NCBI's taxonomy places the organism in Eukaryota, Metazoa, Chordata, Actinopteri, Gobiiformes, Gobiidae. The transcript has 4 exons.
GAAGUCUGCAGUGAAAGACUGUGUCUAUGGUUCAGACUCUUCCUCUUCCUCGGGUCUGGAGGUGAAGUGUUCAGACUUACUGAAUCGUCCGGUCAUCUCUCUGUCUGUGUCUGACGGGGCUUCCCAGGCCCGGCCACAGGGGGUCCGGGUGCUGCUGGGGUCAAAGUUCAGGGUCAAAUGCUCUGUGGAGCCACAGUACCCGGGAGGCUCCUUCCAGCUCCUCUCUCCCACUGCGCCCCCUCGGUCAGAACCACACCCUGCCCGCUGUCAAUCACUCCGCACACUUCCUGUUCUCUGACACUGGCUCCGCCCACAAAGGAAACUACACCUGUGUUUACCACCUGCAUGUGUUCAACCACAACUUCUCCUCUCAGAGCCCCAGCCUCCAGCUCUCUCUGGGAGCUCCAGUCUCAGACCUGAUCAUCAGAGUCCUGGUCAUUCUACUGUUGAAGCUCCUCUACAUCCUUCCAAUGUACUACUACUACUGCAAGGUCCGGGCCAGAGGGGGCGCUAGAGAGAGGACCUGAGGACCUGGACUUUGACCGUUUCAGAUGUGAGCUCCUGGAUGUUCAAUACAUUUAUGUAAAUACAGAGUGACUUAAAUCAUGUGAUUGUGUCUGUUAUGUUUAAUCACACUCUAGGGUCAGUUACACUCUAGGGUCAGUUACACUUUUUAUCAUCAUUCUUUUGUGUUUAUUUUGGUAUAAUGUACUUUUGCUGAUGUUUGAUAAACUGUUUGAAUCCUCAUGUUUUUAGAGACUCUUUUGUGUAUUUAAACUUGUGUCCUGGAGUUACUCUGGUACUUUGGUUAAACGGCCUGGUACGUGUGUGUUCCAUAGAGAUAUUACAUAUGCAUGUGUCCAUAUUAUCCUUAUAACUCCAUGAAUAAGAAUAACUCCAAUAUGUUUAUUAAAUGUGUAAUAAAGGUCUGUAUCACACAUACCUGUGGAUUUUCAAAAUAAAUGUAAGAAAUGAGUUAUAAUCCACACAAA